CAAAAGCGUAUAUUAAAGUUGUUGCAGUUAGAAAGCUCGUAGUUGAACCUUGGGCUUGGCUGGCCGGUCCAUCUUUUUUGAUGCGUACUGGACCCAGCCGAGCCUUUCCUUCUGGCUAGCCUUUUGGCGAACCAGGACUUUUACUUUGAAAAAAUUAGAGUGUUCAAAGCAGGCCUUUGCUCGAAUAUAUUAGCAUGGAAUAAUAGAAUAGGACGUUAUGGUUCUAUUUUGUUGGUUUCUAGGACCAUCGUAAUGAUUAAUAGGGACGGUCGGGGGUAUCAGUAUUCAGUUGUCAGAGGUGAAAUUCUUGGAUUUACUGAAGACUAACUACUGCGAAAGCAUUUACCAAGGACGUUUUCAUUAA
This 364-nucleotide ribosomal RNA is filed under the name uncultured eukaryote. RNAcentral describes it as "partial 18S ribosomal RNA". It matches the Rfam family "Eukaryotic small subunit ribosomal RNA", at positions 592 to 976 of the family's 1831-position model. The record is from RNAcentral.